This is a long non-coding RNA of Eupeodes corollae, 1070 nucleotides long. RefSeq lists it as uncharacterized. The record is from RefSeq and is a predicted model, not a curated record. The transcript is spliced from 2 exons. Lineage: Eukaryota; Metazoa; Arthropoda; Insecta; Diptera; Syrphidae.
UUCAACCAAAAAAGAAAAAAGACAAACGUAACCAGUCUAUUUUAGACUUUUUGUAUAUUUUCCACCAUUCUUGGCGGAUGAAGUUUAAGAAGUAGGGGUUGCCACAUAAAGAAAAUUGCGUAGUGGAAUCAUUUUUGGCAGAAAGUAACUGUAAUUUUAGUUAAGUGAAACAAGUAGCCAAAAUUAACUAGGCAAAUUCGAUAUUGUUCUAAAUUACAGUUUACAAGCAGAUUGCAGUGCAAGGUGUAUAACUAAAAGUGUGAACAAAAAAAUUAUUAAUUAAAGAUAAAAAGUUAAUUAAAGUUUGAAUUGGAAGUCAUUUGUGACAAUUGGUUGCAUUUUGCAUACAUUUUAGUCACUCAAAAGUCACAAUUGCAACGGUUUUGCGGCUGUAAAAAAUUAACUUAAAGUUUUGUAUACAACUCCAUCCCUUCGUCACCUUGAAGUUAUAGCACACCAUAGACACUUAAAGAAUGACAUGUUACGCGACAAAUUUCCACUAAUUAAUUAAUAAUUAAAUUAAAUAAUUUAAUUUGAGUAGAUUAUUUUUAACACUUCCGAUAAGGGCUGCUUCAGUUGAGAGUUCUUUUUCUGCAAGUACAAUUCAAAAUAAGUCACGCCUUGCCCUGGCCAGUCACAGCAUUGUAAGCGGUUAUUCUCCAAACUUUGAAGGCGUGGAAGUUCUACAGACAGAGAAACAUGUUUCCAAACGAUACACGUUAGAAACAUUACAUAAAUUCUCAAUAACAAAAAAACAUGAACCGAAACACUUCACGCAAAACAUUUCUGUUCUUUCUACCCAAAUAUAAUUUUAAUUUGUGCUUUAUUCAAUUUAGACUUAACUUCAUUCUUUAAAGUGCCAAUUAUAUUUAUAGUUUUAUUUUUAAUUUAUGUUAAAUUAUGUAUAUAGGUAAUUAAUAUUAAUUUUGUUUAUUAUUUUCUUCAGUGAGUAAACUAUAUUGUAUUUGUGUUCCAUUGAUCCAAGAUUAUUUCUAUAUUUUUUUGUGUUAAUAAAGUUUCCCUUGAAGAAGGCAGCAAUCCCUGCCGAAACGUUUUGAAAGUUAAUGUUA